CGUGUAGGUGGAACGGAAAGCGAGAUGUGAAAGCCCUUGGCUCAACCAAGGAAGAGCAUUUCGAACUGCUGGUCUUGAGUACGGGAGAGGGAGGUAGAAUUCCGGGUGUAGAGGUGAAAUUCGUAGAUAUCUGGAGGAAUACCGGUGGCGAAGGCGGCCUCCUGGACCGAUACUGACACUGAAACGCGAAAGCGUGGGGAGCAAACA
Molecule: ribosomal RNA, 207 nt
Filed under: uncultured bacterium
Lineage: Bacteria
Description: partial 16S ribosomal RNA
Rfam family: Bacterial small subunit ribosomal RNA
Source: RNAcentral